UUGGGUAUAGCUCAGUGGAAGAGCACAUGCUUAGAAUGCACAAGAUCCUGGGUUCAAUCCCAAGUACCUUAA
RNAcentral lists this transfer RNA (72 nucleotides) under Camelus bactrianus (Bactrian camel). It matches the Rfam family "tRNA". From Rfam's summary of the family: Transfer RNA (tRNA) molecules are approximately 80 nucleotides in length. Their secondary structure includes four short double-helical elements and three loops (D, anti-codon, and T loops). RNAcentral also lists the same sequence under 2 other names. Lineage: Eukaryota; Metazoa; Chordata; Mammalia; Artiodactyla; Camelidae. The record is from Rfam by way of RNAcentral.